GACGAACGCUGGCGGCGUGCCUAAUACAUGCAAGUAGAACGCACAGUUUAUACCGUAGCUUGCUACACCAUAGACUGUGAGUUGCGAACGGGUGAGUAACGCGUAGGUAACCUGCCUGGUAGCGGGGGAUAACUAUGGGAAACGAUAGCUAAUACCGCAUAAUAUUCAUUAUUGCAAGAUAAUUAAUUGAAAGGCGCAAUUGCACCACUACCAGAUGGACCUGCGGUGUAUUAGCUAGUAGGAGAGGUAACGGCUCACCUAGGCGACGAUACAUAGCCGACCUGAGAAGGGGAACCGCCACACUGGGAAUGAGACACCGCCCAGAAUCCUACAGGAAGGAGCAGGAGGGAAUCUUCGGCAAUGGACGAAAGUCUGACCGGACAACGCCGGGUGAGUGGAGAAGGGUUUCGGGUCGGAAAACUCUGUUGUAAGGGAAGAACGAGUGUGGGAGUGGAAAGUUCACACUGUGACGGUAUCUAACCAGAAAGGGACGGCUAACUACGUG
RNAcentral lists this ribosomal RNA (505 nucleotides) under uncultured bacterium. RNAcentral describes it as "partial 16S ribosomal RNA". It matches the Rfam family "Bacterial small subunit ribosomal RNA", at positions 28 to 507 of the family's 1533-position model. The record is from RNAcentral.